GAAAACAAGCUCAGGGCUCCCACUGAUUGUACAUUAUGGUGAGACGUGGUCUUGUAACACAGUGGUUAAGAAUGUGACUUUGGAGCCAGCCUGCUAGGGGCUGAAUUCUGACUCAGCCAUUUACUAACUGUGUGACCUUAGGUGGAGUCUCACUCUGUAGCCCAAGCUGGAGUGGCGUGAUCUCGACUCACUGCAACCUCCGCCUCCUGGGAUCAAGUGAUUCUCGUGCCUCAGCCUCCUGAGUAGCCGGGACUACAGGUCACAGAAUUUUCCACACUCCUUGACAGAGGUGCUUAACCCUUAUCCAUCAGCAUUCUCAGACAGCACCUCCGGUUAGGGACAGUAUCUGACCGUCCGACA
RNAcentral lists this long non-coding RNA (360 nucleotides) under Homo sapiens (human). Its description in RNAcentral is "non-protein coding PCBP1-AS1:162". Lineage: Eukaryota; Metazoa; Chordata; Mammalia; Primates; Hominidae. The record is from RNAcentral.